GACGAACGCUGGCGGCGUGCUUAACACAUGCAAGUCGAGCGGUAAGGCCCUUUCGGGGGUACACGAGCGGCGAACGGGUGAGUAACACGUGGGUGACCUGCCCUCAGCUCUGGGAUAAGCCUGGGAAACCGGGUCUAAUACCGGAUAUGACUACCAUGACGCAUGUUGUGGGGUGAAAGCCUUGUGCGGCUGAGGAUGGGCCCGCGGCCUAUCAGCUUGUUGGUGGGGUGAUGGCCUACCAAGGCGACGACGGUAGCCGGCCUGAGA
RNAcentral lists this ribosomal RNA (267 nucleotides) under uncultured bacterium. RNAcentral describes it as "partial 16S ribosomal RNA". It matches the Rfam family "Bacterial small subunit ribosomal RNA", at positions 28 to 297 of the family's 1533-position model. The record is from RNAcentral.